Amblyraja radiata (thorny skate) is the source of this 775-nucleotide long non-coding RNA. RefSeq lists it as uncharacterized. NCBI's taxonomy places the organism in Eukaryota, Metazoa, Chordata, Chondrichthyes, Rajiformes, Rajidae. The transcript has 3 exons. The record is from RefSeq and is a predicted model, not a curated record.
GGGUGACGGAGGAACUGAAAGAAAUUCAUAUUAGUUAGGAAAUGGUGCUCUCUUCAUUUACUCUGCAGGGAAACUAAGAAGUAUCUCACCGAGUGGGAUACAACGAGGCAUCCAAAUUCUGUCACCUAUGAAUAUUUUCCUGCUCUCAGCUGAUUCACUGGAGGGAAUACUAAGGAGAAGACUGAUCAAGAUACCUGGGUGUUGUGUGGCCAGAAGCAGGAAAUCAACAUUAGGAGACUGCCAGUGGUCAUCAUCCUGCAUGAGCCUGGUGUGAAAGUUGCAUUCAAGCUAUCAUGACAAACCAAAAACUGGAUCCUAGACAACAGAGUUCCUGCUGACUAUGUGUUUAAUGUCUGGUACACAGCCAAUGACCACAUGGCCAACAAGCAUACAAUGAAAGAUGAAAUACAAAAAAUAUAAUGGAGCUACACUACAGCAUCUACAGAGAAAGAAGUAAUAAACUUCAAGUGAUAAACUUCAAGUUAUCUACCUUCAAGUUUGAACAUGUCAUUUAUGAAGACUACCAGCACUUCUAUGGGGGAAAAAGAUGCAACAAGCAUACAUGGCCCUCGAUCCUCGGUGGCGCCUUCACACCCACGUUGGUUUUGAAUACAGCCUGUCACCACUGGCGACUCACCAGCAGCCUCACGAGAAAAUCCAGCCACAAGAGCUCAAUAACUACUCCAAGGUCAGACGCACUCAUUCGCCUUAUCUGUACACGGGUUAUGAUUGGUGAGAAUGUAGGUAAAAGGGGCUUCUGGAAUAAACGUGACAC